This 515-nucleotide ribosomal RNA is filed under the name uncultured bacterium. RNAcentral describes it as "partial 16S ribosomal RNA". It matches the Rfam family "Bacterial small subunit ribosomal RNA", at positions 28 to 523 of the family's 1533-position model. The record is from RNAcentral.
GAUGAAUGCUGGCGGCGUGCCUAAUACAUGCAAGUCGAGCGAAUGGAUUAAGAGCUUGCUCUUAUGAAGUUAGCGGCGGACGGGUGAGUAACACGUGGGUAACCUGCCCAUAAGACUGGGAUAACUCCGGGAAACCGGGGCUAAUACCGGAUAACAUUUUGAACCGCAUGGUUCGAAAUUGAAAGGCGGCUUCGGCUGUCACUUAUGGAUGGACACGCGUCGCAUUAGCUAGUUGGUGAGGUAACGGCUCACCAAGGCAACGAUGCGUAGCCGACCUGAGAGGGUGAUCGGCCACACUGGGACUGAGACACGGCCCAGACUCCUACGGGAGGCAGCAGUGGGGAAUUGUUCGCAAUGGGCGCAAGCCUGACGACGCAACGCCGCGUGGAGGAUGAAGGUCUUCGGAUUGUAAACUCCUGUUGAUCGGGAAGAAUGUCUUUAGGGCUAAUACCCCUGAAGAGUGACGGUACCGGUUGAGGAAGCCCCGGCUAACUCUGUGCCAGCAGCCGCCGUAA